GAAUGCACUCAGCCUGAGCACAGAUGCUCCAUUUUGGUGUACUGAGAGAGACAUGGCACACAUCAGGAAAUGGUGGUGCAUUAAUUUGAUGGAACGGUUCCAGAUUGAUGGCCACGGACAGAGGUUUGCAUACUGGACAAAUGAGGCCACAGCAUUGCUCCAAGGAUCAUUGCAGCCGAUCUACAGGAUCCCGAAGACCAGAAAAAGGGAUCAUGAGGUGAGCAUGAUGUUGGUGGCAGAGGACACCCAGUGUCAUGCUCCUUUUUGUUAUUGACUCAUUGUAACGACCCAGGUGGGUCUCUCAAGACUCUGCCCAUUUGCGCUGGUUGCCUGUUCUGUCACCUCCCCUUUCUUGUGUGCAGGUCUCAGGUGUGUGCAAUGACCCUGCUGAUUGGGGAGUGUAGAAAAGACCUGCCGUGCCAACAUCCGGGGCUCUCUCCUCUCCUCCGCUGGCUUUAGGCUUUUGUUUGGUUGUUCCCAUGACUGAUCUCACACCACACUUUUGGUUACAUUACAUAUUACUGACUUACACCACACCCCAUUAACUUUACCGUAGUUUCUGUUC
Molecule: long non-coding RNA, 565 nt
Organism: Gadus macrocephalus (Pacific cod)
Lineage: Eukaryota; Metazoa; Chordata; Actinopteri; Gadiformes; Gadidae
Exons: 3
Source: RefSeq, a predicted model, not a curated record